This 403-nucleotide ribosomal RNA is filed under the name uncultured bacterium. Its description in RNAcentral is "partial 16S ribosomal RNA". It matches the Rfam family "Bacterial small subunit ribosomal RNA", at positions 30 to 526 of the family's 1533-position model. The record is from RNAcentral.
AUUGAACGCUGGCGGCGGGCCUAAAACAUGCAAGUCGAGAGAGCGGCGGACGGGUGAGUAAUGUAUGGGGACUGCCCGAUAGAGGGGGAUAACUACUGGAAACGGUGGAUAAUACCGCUUACUAGCGGAUGACCCAUAUGGGAUUAGGUAGUAUGUGGGGUAAAGGCUCACAUAGGCGACGAUCUCUAGCUGGUCUGAGAGGAUGAACAGCCACACUGGGACUGAGCCACGGCCCAGACUCCUACGGAGGCAGCAGUGGGGAAUAUUGCACAAUGGGCGCAAUCCUGAUGCAGCCAUGCCGCGUGUAGGAAGAAGGCCUUAGGGUUGUAAAGUACUUUCAGCGGGGAAGCGUUACUCGCAGAAGAAGCACCGGCUAACUCCGUGCCAGCAGCCGCGGUAAUUC